AGCCAGACUCCUACGGGAGGCAGCAGUGGGGAAUAUUGCACAAUGGGGGAAACCCUGAUGCAGCGACGCCGCGUGAACGAAGAAAUAUUUCGGUAUGUAAAGUUCUAUCAGCAGGGAAGAAAAUGACAGUACCUGACCAAGAAGCCCCGGCUAACUACGUGCCAGCAGCCGCGGUAAUACGUAGGUGGCAAGCGUUGUCCGGAUUUACUGGGUGUAAAGGGCGUGUAGCCGGGCUUACAAGUCAGAUGUGAAAUCCGGGGGCUCAACCCCCGAACUGCAUUUGAAACUGUAGGUCUUGAGUAUCGGAGAGGCAGGCGGAAUUCCUAGUGUAGCGGUGAAAUGCGUAGAUAUUAGGAGGAACACCAGUGGCGAAGGCGGCUUACUGGACUGUAACUGACGUUGAGGCUCGAAAGCGUGGGGAGCAAACAGGAUUAGAUACCCCAGUACG
RNAcentral lists this ribosomal RNA (448 nucleotides) under uncultured bacterium. Its description in RNAcentral is "bacterial SSU rRNA". It matches the Rfam family "Bacterial small subunit ribosomal RNA", at positions 329 to 793 of the family's 1533-position model. The record is from RNAcentral.